Molecule: ribosomal RNA, 756 nt
Filed under: uncultured bacterium
Lineage: Bacteria
Description: bacterial SSU rRNA
Rfam family: Bacterial small subunit ribosomal RNA
Source: RNAcentral
AGAGUUUGAUCCUGGCUCAGAAUCAACGCUGGCGGCGUGCCUAACACAUGCAAGUCGCACGAGAAAGGGUAGCAAUACCUGAGUACAGUGGCGCACGGGUGAGUAACACGUGAAUAAUCUACCUCCGAGUGGGGAAUAACUUAGGGAAACCUGAGCUAAUACCGCAUAACACUUACGAGUCAAAGCAGCAAUGCGCUUGGAGAGGAGUUCGCGGCAGAUUAGUUAGUUGGCGGGGUAAUGGCCCACCAAGACGAUGAUCUGUAUCCGGCCUGAGAGGGCGCACGGACACACUGGAACUGAAACACGGUCCAGACUCCUACGGGAGGCAGCAGUGGGGAAUUUUGCGCAAUGGGGGAAACCCUGACGCAGCAACGCCGCGUGGAGGAUGAAAUCCCUUGGGAUGUAAACUCCUUUCGAUCGGGACGAUUAUGACGGUACCGGAAGAAGAAGCCCCGGCUAACUUCGUGCCAGCAGCCGCGGUAAUACGAGGGGGGCGAGCGUUGUUCGGAAUUAUUGGGCGUAAAGGGUGCGUAGGCGGUUUGAUAAGUCUGAUGUGAAAUCUAUGGGCUCAACCCAUAGCCUGCAUUAGAAACUGUCGGGCUUGAGUAUGGGAGAGGUGAGUGGAAUUUCCGGUGUAGCGGUGAAAUGCGUAGAUAUCGGAAGGAACACCUGUGGCGAAAGCGGCUCACUGGACCAUUACUGACGCUGAUGCACGAAAGCUAGGGGAGCAAACAGGAUUAGAUACCCCCGUAGUCC